AGAGCAUUUGGUGAAUGCCUUGGCAUAUACAGGCGAUGAAGGACGUGGCACGCUGCGAUAAGCGUGGGGGAGCCGUGAGCAGGCUUUGAUCCCACGAUUUCCGAAUGGGGAAACCCAUCCUCACUAUUUAAUUUUAGCGCUGAGUAAUCAGUGUUGGAGUUAAAUAGGAAGGAUAUCACUUAGCUGAAUAAAAUAGGCUUAGUGAAGCGAACCCGGAGAACUGAAACAUCUCAGUACCCGGAGGAAAAGACAUCAACCGAGAUUCCGUUAGUAGUGGCGAGCGAACGCGGACCAGGCCAGUGCCUGGUGUUUAAUUAGCAAAAGCUUCUGGAAACUAGCGCCAUAGUGGGUGACAGCCCCGUAUGCGAAAAUGAAACAUCAGGACUUGAGUAGGGCGGGACACGUGUAAUCCUGUCUGAAUAUAGGGGGACCACCCUCUAAGCCUAAAUACUCGUAUAUGACCGAUAGCGAACUAGUACCGUGAGGGAAAGGUGAAAAGCACCCCGAUGAGGGGAGUGAAACAGUACCUGAAACCGAAUGCUUACAAUCAGUUGGAGCCUCUUUAUGGGGUGACAGCGUACCUCUUGUAUAAUGGGUCUGUGACUUAAUGUAUCAUGCAAGCUUAAGCCGUUAGGUGUAGGCGUAGCGAAAGCGAGUCUGAAUAGGGCGACUGAGUAUGAUGCAUUAGACCCGAAACCCGGCGAUCUAUGCAUGACCAGGUUGAAGGUGCGGUAACACGCACUGGAGGACCGAACCGUUCAAUGUUGAAAAAUUGUCGGAUGAGUUGUGCUUAGGGGUGAAAGGCCAAUCAAGCCGGGAAAUAGCUGGUUCUCCGCGAAAACUAUUGAGGUAGUGCCUCGGAUGUUUUCCGAUGGGGGUAGAGCACUGGAUGGAUGCGGGGGUCGCGAGAUCUACCAAUUCUAACCAAACUCCGAAUACCAUCGAGUUAGUCCGGGAGACAGACGGCGGGUGCUAAGGUCCGUCGUCAAAAGGGAAACAGCCCUAACCUACAGCUAAGGUCCCCAAAUCAUAUCUAAGUGGUGAAGCAUGUGGGAUUUCCAAAACAACCAGGAGGUUGGCUUAGAAGCAGCCAUCCUUUAAAGAAAGCGUAACAGCUCACUGGUCUAAAUAAGAGAUCCUGCGGCGAAAAUGUAACGGGGCUAAAGAUAUGUACCGAAGCUUAGGGUGUGCAAUUUAUUGCAUGCGGUAGCGGAGCGUUCCGUAGGCCGAUGAAGCGAUCUGGUAAUGGGUCGUGGAGGUAUCGGAAGUGCGAAUGCAGACAUGAGUAGCGAUAGGAGGGUGAGACACCCUCCCGCCGAAAGACCAAGGGUUCCUGCUUAAAGCUAAUCUGAGCAGGGUAAGCCGGCCCCUAAGACGAGCCCGAAGGGGGUAGUCGAUGGGAACCACGUUAAUAUUCGUGGGCCUGGUGGUGUGUGACGGAUCUCGUGAGUUGUCAGUCCUUAUUGGAUUGGACUGGCUUCGAAGAGGUUCCAGGAAAUAGCCCCACCGUAUAGACCGUACCCGAAACCGACACAGGUGGUCAGGUAGAGUAUACCAAGGCGUUUGAGAGAAGUAUCCUGAAGGAACUCGGCAAAUUGCCUCCGUACCUUCGGAAGAAGGAGGCCCUCACAUUGCGCAAGCAGUAUGAGGGGGCACAGGCCAGGGGGUAGCGACUGUUUAGCAAAAACACAGGACUCUGCUAAGUCGGCUUCAAGACGACGUAUAGGGUCUGACGCCUGCCCGGUGCUGGAAGGUUAAGAGGAGGAGUGCAAGCUCCGAAUUGAAGCCCCAGUAAACGGCGGCCGUAACUAUAACGGUCCUAAGGUAGCGAAAUUCCUUGUCGGGUAAGUUCCGACCUGCACGAAUGGUGUAACGACUUCCCCACUGUCUCCAGCAUAGACUCAGCGAAAUUGAAUUCCCCGUGAAGAUGCGGGGUACCCGUGGUCAGACGGAAAGACCCUAUGAACCUUUACUGCAGCUUCGCAGUGGUGCCAGGAAGGAACUGUGUAGGAUAGGUGGGAGCCAUCGAAACCCGGGCGCUAGCUCAGGUGGAGGCAACCUUGAAAUACCACCCUGUUUCUUUCUGGCAUCUCACUGAGCCCGGUCAGCCCGGGCCAGGACCCUGCGUGGUGGGCAGUUUGACUGGGGCGGUCGCCUCCCAAAGAGUAACGGAGGCGCGCGAUGGUGGGCUCAGG
Molecule: ribosomal RNA, 2195 nt
Filed under: mixed culture metagenome
Description: bacterial LSU rRNA
Rfam family: Bacterial large subunit ribosomal RNA
Source: RNAcentral